This 793-nucleotide ribosomal RNA is filed under the name uncultured bacterium. Its description in RNAcentral is "bacterial SSU rRNA". It matches the Rfam family "Bacterial small subunit ribosomal RNA", at positions 8 to 796 of the family's 1533-position model. The record is from RNAcentral.
AGAGUUUGAUCCUGGCUCAGAUUGAACGCUGGCGGCAGGCCUAACACAUGCAAGUCGAGCGGAUGAGUGGAGCUUGCUCCAUGAUUCAGCGGCGGACGGGUGAGUAAUGCCUAGGAAUCUGCCUGGUAGUGGGGGACAACGUUUCGAAAGGAACGCUAAUACCGCAUACGUCCUACGGGAGAAAGCAGGGGACCUUCGGGCCUUGCGCUAUCAGAUGAGCCUAGGUCGGAUUAGCUAGUUGGUGAGGUAACGGCUCACCAAGGCGACGAUCCGUAACUGGUCUGAGAGGAUGAUCAGUCACACUGGAACUGAGACACGGUCCAGACUCCUACGGGAGGCAGCAGUGGGGAAUAUUGGACAAUGGGCGAAAGCCUGAUCCAGCCAUGCCGCGUGUGUGAAGAAGGUCUUCGGAUUGUAAAGCACUUUAAGUUGGGAGGAAGGGCAGUAAGUUAAUACCUUGCUGUUUUGACGUUACCGACAGAAUAAGCACCGGCUAACUUCGUGCCAGCAGCCGCGGUAAUACGAAGGGUGCAAGCGUUAAUCGGAAUUACUGGGCGUAAAGCGCGCGUAGGUGGUUCAGCAAGUUGGAUGUGAAAGCCCCGGGCUCAACCUGGGAACUGCAUUUGUGACUGCAAGGCUAGAGUACGGCAGAGGGGGAUGGAAUUCCGCGUGUAGCAGUGAAAUGCGUAGAUAUGCGGAGGAACACCAAUGGCGAAGGCAAUCCCCUGGGCCUGUACUGACGCUCAUGCACGAAAGCGUGGGGAGCAAACAGGAUUAGAUACCCUGGUAGUCC